This 496-nucleotide ribosomal RNA is filed under the name uncultured bacterium. RNAcentral describes it as "partial 16S ribosomal RNA". It matches the Rfam family "Bacterial small subunit ribosomal RNA", at positions 28 to 523 of the family's 1533-position model. The record is from RNAcentral.
GAUGAACGCUAGCGGCAGGCUUAACACAUGCAAGUCGAGGGGUAGAGGAAGCUUGCUUCCUUGAGACCGGCGCACGGGUGCGUAACGCGUAUGCAAUCUACCUUGUACAGGGGGAUAGCCCAGAGAAAUUUGGAUUAAUACCCCAUAGCGUAAUGAAUAGGCAUCUAUUUAUUACUAAAGUUCCAACGGUACAAGAUGAGCAUGCGUCCCAUUAGCUAGUUGGUGUGGUAACGGCACACCAAGGCAACGAUGGGUAGGGGUCCUGAGAGGGAGAUCCCCCACACUGGUACUGAGACACGGACCAGACUCCUACGGGAGGCAGCAGUGAGGAAUAUUGGUCAAUGGGCGCAAGCCUGAACCAGCCAUGCCGCGUGCAGGAUGACGGUCCUAUGGAUUGUAAACUGCUUUUGUACAGGAAGAAACACUCCCUCGUGAGGGAGCUUGACGGUACUGUAAGAAUAAGGAUCGGCUAACUCCGUGCCAGCCGCCGCGGUAA